GAGUUUGAUCAUGGCUCAGAUUGAACGCUGGCGGCAGGCCUAACACAUGCAAGUCGAGCGGUAGAGAGAAGCUUGCUUCUCUUGAGAGCGGCGGACGGGUGAGUAAUGCCUAGGAAUCUGCCUGGUAGUGGGGGAUAACGCUCGGAAACGGACGCUAAUACCGCAUACGUCCUACGGGAGAAAGCAGGGGACCUUCGGGCCUUGCGCUAUCAGAUGAGCCUAGGUCGGAUUAGCUAGUUGGUGAGGUAAUGGCUCACCAAGGCGACGGUCCGUAACUGGUCUGAGAGGAUGAUCAGUCACACUGGAACUGAGACACGGUCCAGACUCCUACGGGAGGCAGCAGUGGGGGAAUAUUGGACAAUGGGCGAAAGCCUGAUCCAGCCAUGCCGCGUGUGUGAAGAAGGUCUUCGGAUUGUAAAGCACUUUAAGUUGGGAGGAAGGGCAGUAAAUUAAUACUUUGCUGUUUUGACGUUACCGACAGAAUAAGCACCGGCUAACUCUGUGCCAGCACG
Molecule: ribosomal RNA, 512 nt
Filed under: uncultured bacterium
Lineage: Bacteria
Description: bacterial SSU rRNA
Rfam family: Bacterial small subunit ribosomal RNA
Source: RNAcentral